RNAcentral lists this ribosomal RNA (344 nucleotides) under uncultured bacterium. Its description in RNAcentral is "bacterial SSU rRNA". It matches the Rfam family "Bacterial small subunit ribosomal RNA", at positions 8 to 349 of the family's 1533-position model. The record is from RNAcentral.
AGAGUUUGAUCCUGGCUCAGGACGAACGCUGGCGGCGUGCCUAACACAUGCAAGUCGAGCGAGUGGAUCUCCUUCGGGAGUGAAGCUAGCGGCGGACGGGUGAGUAACACGUGGGCAACCUGCCUCAUAGAGGGGAAUAGCCUUUCGAAAGGAAGAUUAAUACCGCAUAAGAUUGUAGCUUCGCAUGAAGUAGCAAUUAAAGGAGCAAUCCGCUAUGAGAUGGGCCCGCGGCGCAUUAGCUAGUUGGUGAGGUAACGGCUCACCAAGGCGACGAUGCGUAGCCGACCUGAGAGGGUGAUCGGCCACAUUGGGACUGAGACACGGCCCAGACUCCUACGGGAGCA